Molecule: long non-coding RNA, 656 nt
Organism: Acanthochromis polyacanthus (spiny chromis)
Lineage: Eukaryota; Metazoa; Chordata; Actinopteri; Pomacentridae
Exons: 3
Source: RefSeq, a predicted model, not a curated record
AUAAUGCCUUCCCAAACUCUAUGGAGGUGCCAGAAGUUGAGGACUCACAGAUGGGUGAAAUUCCUCAAGAGGUCCCAAAUUUUGAUCAACAUCUUCAGACACUGAGAGACCUGCUGAGUUCAGUCACCGUCCCAGUGUCAGCACAAGUGGAGGAGACACCCAGCAUGUCUGUGUGGACCAGGAGGCAGCUAACUUCAGAGAAAAAUUUCAAGGCUGCGUUGCCAGAGUUCCUGAGCUGUAUGCUGGCUGCAGAAAGUGUUCCCCACCAUUGCUGUCAGCAGUGCAAAACAGUCGAUGCUGUAGUCAGGUGCUUGGACUGUGUUCCCUCAGGAGUUCAGUUUCUCUGCGCAUCGUGUGACUUGAUAGUCCACAAAAAAUGUGUAUUCCAUGACAGAGAGGUCAUGGUUGAUGGUUUUUAUAAACCUAUUCCACCCACAUCCUCUGUGAAGAUGAGUGAAAGAGGUCAUCAUGAACUUGUCGAACAAGUAUGUCUGCUGCCGAUUCCUCCACCAACACAAAUCUGCUCCUGUGGCUGCAACCAAGACCUUGCCAUCAUACCAGGAAAGCAGACUGUCUUGGUGACAAUAAAUGGUAUGUCAUGACUUGUUACUACUUUUUGUGUCCUAUCUGGGUCAUGAUAUAUGUAUUUUUGUUUU